This 657-nucleotide ribosomal RNA is filed under the name uncultured bacterium. Its description in RNAcentral is "bacterial SSU rRNA". It matches the Rfam family "Bacterial small subunit ribosomal RNA", at positions 110 to 753 of the family's 1533-position model. The record is from RNAcentral.
GUAACACGUGGGUAACCUACCUACAAGCGGGGGAUAACAUUCGGAAACGGAUGCUAAUACCGCAUAGAUCUUUUUGUCUCCUGGCAGAAAGAAGAAAGACGGUUUCGGCUGUCACUUGUAGAUGGACCCGCGGCGCAUUAGUUAGUUGGUGAGGUAAUGGCUCACCAAGGCGAUGAUGCGUAGCCGACCUGAGAGGGUGAUCGGCCACACUGGGACUGAGACACGGCCCAGACUCCUACGGGAGGCAGCAGUAGGGAAUCUUCCGCAAUGGACGAAAGUCUGACGGAGCAACGCCGCGUGAGUGAAGAAGGUUUUCGGAUCGUAAAACUCUGUUGUUAGAGAAGAACAAGGAUGAGAGUAACUGCUCGUCCCUUGACGGUAUCUAACCAGAAAGCCAUGGCUAACUACGUGCCAGCAGCCGCGGUAAUACGUAGAUGGCAAGCGUUGUCCGGAUUUAUUGGGCGUAAAGCGAGCGCAGGCGGUUCUUUAAGUCUGAUGUGAAAGCCCCUGGCUCAACCAGGGAGGGUCAUUGGAAACUGGAGAACUUGAGUGCAGAAGAGGAAAGUGGAAUUCCAUGUGUAGCGGUGAAAUGCGUAGAUAUAUGGAGGAACACCAGUGGCGAAGGCGACUUUCUGGUCUGUAACUGACGCUGAGGCU